AUGAUAGUGGUUGUAUGUUGUUUCAUGGAAGUGGGUUUCGAAUUGCAUAUGGAGUUGAAGACUAAUUCCACUGUGUUUGUAAUUGCAACCACCGGCCAACCUUUUAGGUAAUUUUGGAUUCUUUAUUUUGUUCUUAGGUUUAAUGAAGUAUUUAGGAAUCAGACUGAAGAUGUAGUGACUUUUAAUAUCAAAAUUAUGAUCAUCUGUCAUUGAUUUCCUCUAAUUUUAGUUAUAUGCUUUCAAAAGUUAGUUGUUCACGGGUGGUUGUUUAGAUCUUAUGAUCGGGUUUAACGUAGAUGGCAGUAUAUUAAUUAAAUUUGCUUUCUCAUUUUGUUAUACCCAACUGAUUGUUUCAAAGCAUGAACAAGUGUUGUGAUUAGGUACUACAAUCACAAUUUUGAGGACCAUUAUAACAGCUACAUGGCUGGUUGUGGUAAUCUUCUUAGCAACCUCUUCCCACAUUGUAGAAUUUGUAAUGUGUAAUGAUUGCAGCAACAAAUACAUGAAUUAGGGUCUUAGUUAACAUUUUUUUAACAACAAAGAUUAUACUAUAUUACUCCUCACCCCAAGAAUUGAAAUUGGGUCACUCCACAAGAGGAAAACCAUCUUGACCACUAGGCCACAUGCCUAAGUUACCUUAGUUAACAAUUGCAUUGCUAAUACGGUGCCUUUUAAAUGCAGUUUUGAUGCUAAUUUCACCCAUGUCUGUAGAGCUUUAGAAAGGGCAUUUACAAAAACCUUUAGGAGCUCUAAAGAUUCUAUACAUUGGAAUACUCUUGGGAUGACUGUUGACCCAUUUGGCCCGUUAAGAGAUAAUGCAAAGUUCCAUGAGAUAUAUUCUGGUUCUUGGAAUGACGUCUGAUGGCGGUCAUAUGCCUUUUAGAAACUCUCUUGAUGGAAAUUUAGAUGUGGAGCCUUUGUUAUGCACAUAUUAUUGGCCCAUAGCAUGGCAGCCAAACUAUAUCAUCAUUAUUUCCAAGCAAUUAACCAACUCAAAGUCAAUUUUUAAGUUUUAGUUGAACAUUUUAAAUUUGGUAAGUUGACUUAUUGGGUGGUAUGUGCAGCCUACACAAGGUGGCUCAAUUGGACUAACUGUUUACGCUUACAUGUAUCAACCGCUAACAGAUAGUGAAGUUGAUUGUUUGUAAAGGGGCCGAAGCAAAGGUUUUUAAAUGAGCUUAUCUAAUGCAGGUCUGUUGAAUAUGGACAAAGAUUAAAGUUGCAUCUUGAUUAUUCGAGAAUGCCUAUAAAUAAAAAAAGACACAUCACAUGGCAGAAGAGCCAACAGUGGUGGUGGUUUGGAGUGUGUUCAUGCAUAAUUUUUGCUACAAGAUCACCUCAUGGCCCUUGCCCUAUUGCUCUUACGGUUGCUAAAGGGCUGGCAUUGGAUAUUCCGAAAUAUUUAUCAACUUUAUUGAUGUUAAAGUAGAAGAACAGAGACAGAAAUCUUUGGAUUUGAUAAAUAACACGAAGAACAUGUCUUAAUCUUCAUACUUCAAAGGACGCUAUGAUAAACAAUGAUGGGAUGCUCUAUAUAUCCAACUGUUUCAACUUGCACUGCCAGCAGUAGCUAACUCCGCUUGCUGGUUGGAUAUAUAAUCCGCUAACUAUAUAUCAUCUAAUGGUUUUUGGUAGUGCAAUUGGUCUCGGUAGUUCGUCUAUUUCAGUAUUCAAGGGCAAAAUGAAGUUUACUGAUGGAAUGUGUCGAUGCUUAACCUAAGGAGCUUCAGCAAAGUAAACAAAAGCGUAGUGAGGGUGGCAAAUGAAAAUGUUCAAGGGCUUAUGACCCAUUUGGCAUGUUCAGUAACAGUAUUCAUUUGAUCCAGAGCAUAUUCGAAAUGGCACAAGAAAAAGGGGUAGAACCGGUCAAAUGGGAUUUUCAAUUAGGUGUGGCUCCUGGUUUUGUUAGUUAAGGAAGGCGUAGUUGAUUGGCUUCACG
This 1939-nucleotide long non-coding RNA is filed under the name Helianthus annuus (common sunflower). Lineage: Eukaryota; Viridiplantae; Streptophyta; Magnoliopsida; Asterales; Asteraceae. The record is from RNAcentral.